Molecule: ribosomal RNA, 254 nt
Filed under: uncultured bacterium
Lineage: Bacteria
Description: partial 16S ribosomal RNA
Rfam family: Bacterial small subunit ribosomal RNA
Source: RNAcentral
UACGAGUGCCUCAAGCGUUAUCCGGAAUCAUUGGGCGUAAAGGUUGUGUAGGUGGUUGUACUAGUCUUCUGUUAAAUUCUUCGGCUUAACCGGGGGCAUGCAGGGGAAACGGUACGACUCGAGGAUGCGAGGGGUUAGCGGAACUCAUAGUGUAGCGGUGAAAUGCGUUGAUAUUAUGGGGAAACACCAAAAGCGAAGGCAGCUAACUGGAGCACUCCUGACACUGAAACAAGAAAGCGUGGGUCGCGAAUGGG